GACGAACGCUGGCGGCGUGCUUAACACAUGCAAGUCGAACGGAAAGGCCCUUCCUUUGUUGGUUGCUCUAGUGGCGAACGGGUGAGUAACACGUGAGUAACCUGCCCUUGCCUUUUGUAUUACUUCAGGAAACUGGGGCUAAUACCGUAUAGGAGCUCCUGCUGCAUGGUGGGGGUUGGAAAGUUUCGGCGGUUGGUUCUGGAUUCGCGGCUUAUCAGCUUGUUGGUGGGGUAGUAGCUGACCAAGGCUUCGACGGGUAGCCGGCCUGAGAGGGAGACCGGCAACAUUGGGACUGAGAUGCGGCCCAGACGCGUACGGGAGGCAGCAGUGGGGAAUAGUGCAAAAUGGGCGGAAGCCUGAUGCAGCAACGCCGCGUGCGGGAUGAAGGCCUUCGGGUUGUAAACCGCUUUCGCCUGUGACGAAGCGUGAGUGACGGUAAUGGGUAAAGAAGCACCGGCUAACUACGUG
Molecule: ribosomal RNA, 468 nt
Filed under: uncultured bacterium
Lineage: Bacteria
Description: partial 16S ribosomal RNA
Rfam family: Bacterial small subunit ribosomal RNA
Source: RNAcentral